RNAcentral lists this transfer RNA (55 nucleotides) under Carios vespertilionis. RNAcentral describes it as "tRNA-Ser". The record is from RNAcentral. Lineage: Eukaryota; Metazoa; Arthropoda; Arachnida; Ixodida; Argasidae.
UAGACCAACACCAAAGGCUGCUAACCUUUCAAUAAUGAAUUUCAUUUUGGUCUUU